GAUGAACGCUGGCGGCGUGCCUAAUACAUGCAAGUCGAGCGAACAGACGAGGAGCUUGCUCCUUUGACGUUAGCGGCGGACGGGCGAGUAACACGUGGAUAACCUACCUAUAAGACUGGGAUAACUUCGGGAAACCGGAGCUAAUACCGGAUAACAUGUUGAACCGCAUGGUUCAACAGUGAAAGACGGUCUUGCUGUCACUUAUAGAUGGAUCCGCGCCGCAUUAGCUAGUUGGUAAGGUAACGGCUUACCAAGGCAACGAUGCGUAGCCGACCUGAGAGGGUGAUCGGCCACACUGGAACUGAGACACGGUCCAGACUCCUACGGGAGGCAGCAGUAGGGAAUCUUCCGCAAUGGGCGAAAGCCUGACGGAGCAACGCCGCGUGAGUGAAGAAGGUCUUCGGAUCGUAAAACUCUGUUAUUAGGGAAGAACAAAUGUGUAAGUAACUAUGCACGUCUUGACGGUACCUAAUCAGAAAGCCACGGCUAACUACGUG
This 497-nucleotide ribosomal RNA is filed under the name uncultured bacterium. Its description in RNAcentral is "partial 16S ribosomal RNA". It matches the Rfam family "Bacterial small subunit ribosomal RNA", at positions 28 to 507 of the family's 1533-position model. The record is from RNAcentral.